RNAcentral lists this ribosomal RNA (253 nucleotides) under uncultured bacterium. RNAcentral's name for it is "partial 16S ribosomal RNA". It matches the Rfam family "Bacterial small subunit ribosomal RNA", at positions 524 to 776 of the family's 1533-position model. The record is from RNAcentral.
UACGAAGGGGGCUAGCGUUGCUCGGAAUUACUGGGCGUAAAGCGCACGUAGGCGGCUUUCUAAGUCGGGGGUGAAAUCCUGGAGCUCAACUCCAGAACUGCCUUCGAUACUGGAGAGCUUGAGUCCGGGAGAGGUGAGUGGAACUGCGAGUGUAGAGGUGAAAUUCGUAGAUAUUCGCAAGAACACCAGUGGCGAAGGCGGCUCACUGACCCGGUACUGACGCUGAGGUGCGAAAGCGUGGGGAGCAAACAGG